RNAcentral lists this ribosomal RNA (468 nucleotides) under uncultured bacterium. RNAcentral describes it as "partial 16S ribosomal RNA". It matches the Rfam family "Bacterial small subunit ribosomal RNA", at positions 29 to 507 of the family's 1533-position model. The record is from RNAcentral.
AUGAACGCUGGCGGCGUGCUUAACACAUGCAAGUCGAACGGUGAACACGGAGCUUGCUCUGUGGGAUCAGUGGCGAACGGGUGAGUAACACGUGAGCAACCUGCCCCCGACUCUGGGAUAAGCGCUGGAAACGGCGUCUAAUACUGGAUAUGUGACGUGACCGCAUGGUCUGCGUUUGGAAAGAUUUUUCGGUUGGGGAUGGGCUCGCGGCCUAUCAGCUUGUUGGUGAGGUAAUGGCUCACCAAGGCGUCGACGGGUAGCCGGCCUGAGAGGGUGACCGGCCACACUGGGACUGAGACACGGCCCAGACUCCUACGGGAGGCAGCAGUGGGGAAUAUUGCACAAUGGGCGCAAGCCUGAUGCAGCAACGCCGCGUGAGGGAUGACGGCCUUCGGGUUGUAAACCUCUUUUAGCAGGGAAGAAGCGAAAGUGACGGUACCUGCAGAAAAAGCGCCGGCUAACUACGUG